UCCUGUGUAGCUCAGUUGGUAGAGCAUGGCGGUUGCAACACCAGGGUUGUGGGUUUGAUUCCCACUGGAG
Molecule: non-coding RNA, 70 nt
Organism: Salmo salar (Atlantic salmon)
Lineage: Eukaryota; Metazoa; Chordata; Actinopteri; Salmoniformes; Salmonidae
Source: Rfam